UUACAUCCGGGUUACAUUCCUCCGUAAAGUUAGCUCUUCUCCAGCAGCAUGACUCACGGGUCUAUCGUUGAAGUGCGUUGCUUCCAGCAACCCAUUUGCAUAAAAGCCAGUCUUCUGAGAUUAAAGUCAAAGUUCGGAUUUUUUCCCCCAGUGGUCUUAAUCCUCUUUCUUUAGAGAACGGCGUAUUUGUGUAAACAAGUCCACAUUUUGUGCCUUGAUCGAGCAACGAAACCUGUAACUUUCAAUCGUCAAUAGGGGUCAGUGUUUGGCCUCUUCACCGCAGUGGCUUUGUGUUGCCCCGACAACAAGCUACAACAGAGGCCGUUCCACCAUGUCUACUUCUGUAGCAAAAGAAGGGAAAAAGAUGAGAUAUACAGUGAUGCUGAGGCCCUCUAAACGCGGCAGCAGCUUGCUCGCCUUGUCCAGCAGACGGAGUUUUACUUUCAGCGGCAGCAAAAUUCUGGACAGAAUGGCGGGUCCUACUCCGAGACAAGCUGCUCGGGUGUUUGAUGAGGAAAACAAUGAUGUGACUCCUCAGCCAUUUUACCCGGCAGAUCUCGGAGCAGAGCCAGGCAGCAGGUUCUUGGUGGAUGAACUCUCUGCUGGAUCAACAUCAGACCAGACAACAUUCACUGGGAGCUUCACUAUGCCUUUUUCAAGGUCAGUUUUGGGUAGCAGCAGGUUAUCCAGCCAGUCAACCAUAGAGUCUGUGAACGAGGAAAUGGAGGAAACAUUUUGCAGACGUGACUUUUCCUUCAGCUUACCAGAAUCUUUGUUACCAGAUGAGAAGAGGAAAAAAGGCUCAGUGAAAGAACAAAUGACACAAGCUCUGUUGAAAGGGAUUAAAGACAUUUUAAUCACAGAGACAGACACUAUUUCUCUGCUGGACAUUCCCCCCACCUUAGUGUCAGUGAAUGCUGAUGAUGCAGAUGUCAUAAUAGAGAGAAAUAAACAGUAUUCUGAAGUUUGUAGAAACAGAGGAAACAAUGAGAAGUAUGUGGAGCGAGCCAUGCAGACACUGAAUGGAGCGACUAAGAACAAACAGAUACAGAACAACCUCAUGCUCAUGGUGGACACAGCCACGAUUGUGUCCGCCUUCGACAUGUAUGCGCCUCCAGAGCAGGAAGUGAUGGUUUACAGCCCUGAAAUGAAACAGACCAAUGAUGCAGAGACUGUUGUGGACUCCAGGAGAAGUCCAGAGAGGAGUCUGUCCCUGACCAGCUCAGCUAGUACAGUUAUUUCCUCCUGUUCGCUGAAAGAUGUAGAAACAGUUGGGAGCAGUUUAAACACACAGGUAGACUUUGAGCUCAUCAUGACGUCAGAUAAAUUCCAGUACUCCUUACUUCUAAUGGAGAGGACUGUACUGCGGAACAACUUCCAAAGUCAGCUGGCUGCUUACAGAAAGCUGCCUUUGCUGGAAGACCCUGACAGACUGGUAAAACCUAAGGAAGGGGAACAGAGUGAAGCAGAGACUUCCUGCUCUCCAGCCCUACAGUGUCUCUGGGUUUUCCGCUGUGAGCUCAGCAGAGGCUGUAGGGUCAGUAGCAUGGCCUGGAACAAAAAAAAUCCGGACCUCCUUGCUGUAGGUUAUGGUGAGACUGACUACAGAAACCAUGAACAAGGUCUGGUGUGCUGCUGGUCUAUUAAAAACCCGACGUGGCCUGAGCGAAUCAUUAACUGUGACAGCGCUGUAACAACUGUGGAUUUUUCAUCUAACAGCCCUGGGCAGCUGGCUGUGGGGAUGAGUGACGGCAGCAUUGCUAUCCACAAUGUGCAGAGUGCAGAUAAUAAGUCACCUUUCAUCAGCAGCCGUGAAUGUGCCAAAAGACACCUUGGGCCAGUGUGGCAGCUCAGGUGGAACCAACAAGAACUGAGCUUCACUGGAGAGGAGAAGGUUGAAUCUCUGUACUCUGUGGGAGCAGACGGCAGAAUCUGCAAGUGGUUUGUCAUCAACUGUGGCCUUGACUGUACAGACCUGAUGAAGCUCAAGAAGAUGAAUAAUACCCUGAGAAAGACUGAACAGAACAAGCCAGAGAAGACAGCAGAGUGUGUGCUGUCUGUUCUCACCCCUGGUCUGUGCUUUGACUUUCAUCCAAGUGACUCCAACAUCUAUUUGACUGGUACCUGGGAAGGUAACAUCCACAAGUGUUCCUGCUCCAAUGGUCACCAGUUUCUGGAAACUUACAGGAAACAUUUUUGUCCUGUGAACUGCAUCACAUGGUGUCCUCUCCAUCCUGAUGUGUUCCUGAGCUGCUCCUCUGACUCCACCAUCCAACUCUGGAAGCAGGACUGCAUUAACCCUUUGUUAAGCUUCACCUCCAACCAGCCGGUGGCUGAAGUCAGGUGGUCUCCAAAGCACGCCACAGUAUUCGGUGCUGUUAACGAAGAGCGGCUUGAGAUUUGGGACCUGAACUCCAGCUUUUUGGAUCCAGUAAUUGUGCAGCCUGCUGCUCCUGGACUGAAGAUGACGUCCCUUCUGUUUGCAUCCCUCACAGACUGUGUUGUGGUAGGAGACAGUGAUGGCCAGGUGACGGCGUACCAGCUGCAGAACCUCCAUGUUGGAGAGAGCAGCCAGGGAGAUGUUAUUCAAGGCCUCCUCCACUCUGCAUCUCCCAAAGAACUUCAGGAGACAUUGAUGUAGUGGACACAGAGCACCAUGAUGCAUCUCUAGUUUAAAUGUAUCUACAAGUCUUCAGCUACAAGAAGUGAAGAGGCAGCUGGAGAGACUGAACCAGAACCAGGCUGCAGGUCCAGAUGAGACUCUGUGGGAUUCUGCAGCAUCUCUUCAAGAGAAGGUUCCAUUGUUAUGACUUCUUUAUAAUAUGUUAAGCAUAAUUUAUGAUCUCUAAAUCUAACAUGAGUGUACAUAAUUACAAAAGGGUGAAGUGAAACAUAUUUAAGUGCAAAGCAUGAUUUAUUUUGAAGAAUGCUCAACAGAAUCUAAUUUUUUCUUUUGUCACUAUCUUAUCUUGUAUUGAUUUCGGUUGCUACGUUACAACCAGCUGUUGCAGUUGUCAUCAUCUUUCGCCGUUUUUGCUCAAUAAAGACUGAACAGAAAUGUUCAGUAAAAGACA
Molecule: RNA transcript, 3074 nt
Organism: Xiphophorus couchianus (Monterrey platyfish)
Lineage: Eukaryota; Metazoa; Chordata; Actinopteri; Cyprinodontiformes; Poeciliidae
Gene: dnai4
Gene name: dynein axonemal intermediate chain 4
Exons: 18
Source: RefSeq, a predicted model, not a curated record